Molecule: transfer RNA, 73 nt
Filed under: Paramuricea clavata
Lineage: Eukaryota; Metazoa; Cnidaria; Anthozoa; Malacalcyonacea; Plexauridae
Rfam family: tRNA
About the family: Transfer RNA (tRNA) molecules are approximately 80 nucleotides in length. Their secondary structure includes four short double-helical elements and three loops (D, anti-codon, and T loops).
Source: Rfam by way of RNAcentral
GACCGCGUAGCGCAGUUGGAAGAGCAUUGGGCUAGUAUUCUAAAGGUCGUAGGUUCGAAUCCCACCGUGGCCG